CGAUUCCACGGUCCGACUAAAUUUACUUACUCUUAUCAAGUCACCCCAAUAAUUCCAAUCGAUUCCGCCGGCGUCAGGGAACAUCCUCAGCAGCAACAGCAGCAGCAGCAGCAGUUCUUCCACUUCAAUGGCGGACUGAGCGAGCCGUUCCGAUUCCGAUUCCGAUGAGUUCCCCGUCACCUUCCGAUCCUCCGUCCGCCCCGCCCCAUCCCCAGGUCAAAUGUCGAUCCCGAUGUCGGCGACGGCGACGGCGACGGCGCGGGAGAUGCGGAGGACAGAAAGCCUGAUCCCAGCGAGCUCUUCCAGGACUCUAAUGAUGCCAGGGACAUUGAAAAGUACAGAAAAUAUGAAGCAGACUAUACUCAGCGACUGAUGGCCAAGUACUUCUCAAAAAAGACUCUAUACGGAGGUGACAUAUAUGAUGAGGAAUUUACAAUAGAUGGUGAGGUUAUAAAGUCAAGCAGGUGGCCUUGUACCCGAUCAUAUGCGGACACUGUUAACAGUUUUGAGGACCAGAGCUGCAGCGGCUCGGCUUCAGCAGCUGAAACAGCUAUGGCCAUCUCAAAUGGGAAGCAUCCACUGAAGAAGAACGGCUGACCCUGAUGUUCACGUUCUCGUACGUGGGCUGAUUGAUUCAUUUCACAAUUCAAGGAGAAAAUGAUGCAAGAGAAUGUUACAGCUAAUGAGGCGGACUUUUCCUCACCACCUACAUCCAGUCUUCGAUAAUACUCACUAGGCGAAAGAACGAAAUGCUAUAGUCUACUGACCGAUUAUUCAGAAUCCGAGUUUCUAGAGGAAUUAGAGGAUGCCUUCUUGUAUAUUUUAUGAUAAACUCUUCAUUUUGGAAGAAAAACCUGAAAUGAAUGGCCCUGAGAAUUCAUUAAUGAUAGAUCAAGUCAAUACCCUACUUGUUAAUGAGUACCGCAUGUCAAUUUCUA
Molecule: RNA transcript, 938 nt
Organism: Eucalyptus grandis
Lineage: Eukaryota; Viridiplantae; Streptophyta; Magnoliopsida; Myrtales; Myrtaceae
Exons: 5
Source: RefSeq, a predicted model, not a curated record